CUUUAUUAGGCCUCAAAUAGUAUUUUUUCAUGCUACACAAGCAACAGGAACUGCUUGAGUGGAAAUGUUUCCCUGGCCCGUUCACAAUGUUGAACGUCUUUGCUUUCAUUCCCAGACUCAGACAUGUCUCUCCCAUCUUGCACAUAUAGACCCUACAUUUGUGUGAUUUAUUUCCCCCCCUCUCCCUAAAUGUGCUAUCAUUUAGAUUAUUUCUUGUUUCUGACUACUUGUCCAAAUUAUAAAUGCCUCACUUAAUUCCAUCAUAUUCCAGGGCCCUGGUUCUCCACCAAGAUUGGUGAAUAAAGACUCCUGUGUCAGUUUACACUGCAGCUUGACAAAUGCUGAUGCCACCACUGCUGAAACUCCACUCCUCAAAUGACAGAGGAACCUUCCAGCAAGCCUCACACCUGCCUUCAGAAGGAGCAAGCACAUCAUGAUGCUGAGCUCCCCUCUGACCACAGACACAGCUCUAAAGACACACCCACCUACCUGCUGAAGGGGGUGAGACCAGGGCAAGGAGCAACUUCUAAAAUAAGCACUCACUCUCUGUCUUACCCAUAAGCAGCCCCAUAAGUACUGGUAGAAUCGUCUGCUUUCUAUUUCUCCCAGCCUCCUAGUUCCCUAGACUCUGGCCCUCUAGACCAGCAUAACCUGUUAUAGCUUCUCUCUCACCUUGGUUCCCUGGGCUUGACUUCUGGCCUCCUGGACCCCUGGGCAUUGCCUUGGAGUGCAGGCUGGGGCUCUGAAGCUCAGCCUUUGCUCACACACCCUCGCCAUCUGCAGACUGCCCCUGUCUGGCCCGAUGAGGUUCUGCGUCCUGGCCAUUUGCCCAAGCCUUGGCACACAGUGGUCACAGUUUAAGGAAUCAGUUUGGACCCUGCCUGCCAGCUCCUGCCUUCCUCAGCCCCUCCCAGCUGGAGCCAUGAGAUGCCAUCCUCCAGGCAACCUUGAGUGAGCAGUGCGUCUCCCAGUUCAAUGGGCAAACAAACCCACUGGGGAUCAGGCCAACAUGGAUAUUCUGAUUCAUUAGGUCUGAGGUGGGAUCAGAUAUCUGUGUUUCCAAGUGAUGUGAAUAGCUCAUGAACUUCACUUUGAGGAGUAGGAAUGAGAAUGUAUAGACUAGCAACCUCAUCCUCACCUGGGGAUAGGUCUGGAAUAGGUUGGUUGUAUUGUUGUUUUUUUAUUUGUUAAACAAUUUUCUAUGUGGCCAUUGCUGUGUUUCUAAGGUCCAUUCUUUGCUUUGAAGGAACUUACAGUCUAGUAGUGUUUAUAUUGAGCUUAUGUGCUUUAUAUACACUGAGAGGCCAGAUUAUUAUGACCACUCCAUCAGUAUUUCGUUGGGCCACCUUUUGCCUUCUAUACUGCGGCGAUUCUUCUUGGCAUUGACUCCACGAGAUGUUGA
Long non-coding RNA from Myotis myotis, 1402 nucleotides. RefSeq lists it as uncharacterized. The record is from RefSeq and is a predicted model, not a curated record. Lineage: Eukaryota; Metazoa; Chordata; Mammalia; Chiroptera; Vespertilionidae. The transcript has 3 exons.